Molecule: long non-coding RNA, 3361 nt
Organism: Varanus komodoensis (Komodo dragon)
Lineage: Eukaryota; Metazoa; Chordata; Lepidosauria; Squamata; Varanidae
Exons: 3
Source: RefSeq, a predicted model, not a curated record
GAGCCAGUCUUUUCGCGGCUCAUGCAAGUGCUCCAAUUCCGGACUCUCGCUUUGCUUCCGACCUCCGUCCCUUUCGCGAGCCACGUGUGCGUUGCUUGCCUUGUUUUGCUUCCUAUCCGCCUCGCCUCUCUUCUCUCUUAAUGAAACGCGCCCAUCUUCAAACUUUGCACCCUACGUACAACUUAACCCAGAGAUUCCGCCGAUCGCAGUCGGGUUAGGCUGCUGCUCGCCAGCGCUCCUCGGGCGUGGUUUCCUUGCGCGCCCCCUCCCACCGGGUAGAGACAGGCGGCAGCGGCGGCUGCUAGCGGUGUUUGAAUGGUGCGGUGUGCCUGGCGGGAAGGCGGUGCAAGCGGGAGCUGCAGCUGCUUGCAAUCUCGUUUCCUCUUUGGCCUACUCUUUCCAGCCGCGUCGACUGGUGGAGAAGCAGCGCUGCUCGGGUAGAGGAAAGACGGGAAGUGCUGAGCAAUGAUAGAGUCAGCGAUGGUGCAAAAUUGGAAAAUAUUCAGUGUUGACAUUCUGCCAGCCUUUGGAUGGACACUGUGUCAAGUGGCACAGGAGGACUUCUCUGCUAGGACUCUCUAAGAAUAGUAACUGCAAAAGUAGCAUUACAGAAGAAAUGGAGCAUAUUUACCAGUGAAGUACUAAUAAAAUCCCCAAGGUGCCUUACUUGGAGGUCUGCAAGAAAUGCCUUGUUGUGGAAGAAAAGCAUUGAAUGACCCCAUAGCCCUUGCUGGAGUGCGGCAGUCAAGUGACCACAUACAGGUUUUGCUUGAUUCUUUCACCAAGACUUUGAAGUUCUAUCAGUAGAGAAUUCUGGAUUAGAUCUAAUGUUAGUCCUACUUAGAAUAAACCCAGUGAAACAAAUGGGACUUAAAUUAGAGUUAAUGUUGCAUACAACACACUAUUUCUAAUCUACCUAACUUUUGUAGGCACUGUACAUAAAUUAAAAAAUCAUUGCAGCCCCUGUCCACAAGCUUACUGUCUAAUAGACACAAUGCAGAUGGGAUAGAGAAAAUACAGGAGCAAUGAAUAAACAAAUCCAGGCAAUAAAUUCUUCAUACUUGUAUGGAUGUGCCAUGGCCAGAUGGCAUGUCCCACUGAGAAAACUAGUUAUGGGAGUGGAAGUUAAGAACCAGUGUGGUGUGGUAGUUGGGAUGUGGAACUGGGACCCCAGAGGCCUGGGUUUUACACCUUACUUGGGUACAGAGCUCACUGAGUCACUUUGGGGCACUCACUGACUCUCCAUGGGAUAUAAAUGUCACAGAUUUGAACUAGAUAGAACUACCUGCUGAGCCAGUGGAAUGGGCACUGCUGUUUCAUCUCUUUUUUAGCUGCAUGUCCUCAUUCUGCGUUGUAUCAGCAGCAUAACUGCAAGCUAGUACAGGGGUGGGAGGGAUGUAGACUAUUGUGAAACUGAAAUGCAGAAAAACUAGUCCCCUACCCCACCCUGAGAAGUGAGGCGCUCCAAGCAUCCCCAAGAAACAAAUAUCAGCCAUGCUGAUUUUACUUUCAUUGAUCAAAAUGCAUUGUGCUGUCUUCCUUAUGUCAUCCUGUAGCAAUGAAGUUGGUUAGGACAUGGUGGUGUUUACUGGAAAAUUAGAAGCUUCUUAAUACUGGGCUUUAAGUUGAGAAUCAGGAAUGGGUUUCAGACUGAACCUGUGGAUGAACACAGACUAUUAUUGAGCAAGUGGUAACUUGCCAUGGUGUGCUUGUAACAGUCGGGUGGGUGAUUGUAUCAUCCUACCACGUGAUAUGGAGGAUUUCCCCACAAUGGCCAGUGAGUACUAAGAUAGCUUGUUAACCAGGAUUUUUCUUUGUGCUCAUUGAUUGGAUUCUGUAUUCAUCUGUGCCACACUUCUUUUGCAUGGAUAAAGUGGCCCACAAAAGCAUGUAUGACAACCAGUUUGCUGGUCUUUAGGAUGCUAUGCGAUUUUUUGAUCGCUUGUUUGUUUAUUGCAACUGAAUGAUGUGGCUGAAAAAAGUGUAUAAUUUUGUGCAGGGAAAAAGGGAUUUCCUGCCUAGUACACUUGUUAAUGAGAAGUAGACUGUACAGUGCCCUUUCCCCUGCUAUGUAGAAUCAGUGGGGGAUUUAGUAAAAUCUGGUUUACAACAUUAGUGAAGGGCUACAGAUGCCUAGCUGUCUCUAUAGACAGAGGAAGUCAGCAUGCCAGGAAUUCUAAAAGUGAAGUGGCUGCCCCCCCUCAUUCGCCUGCAUGCAGAGCCCCUUUAAUCUAGGGAUUGAGUUUCAUAAUUCAAACUAAUCAAGGUUCUUUUUUAAUAUGUACUGGGAAAAACCCAAAGUGCGUAAGACGAAGCAGGAACAAAAUUAGUUGGGAGUAAGAAAAAUGGAGAUUGCCUGUGAUGCCAAAUGAGAUGGUUGUUCAUUCUUAAAAGGUUACAUUCAUGUGUGGGUAUCCUGCUGAGUAAAACUUCACAUCUUCCUUUCCAGCUGAAAUUUCUUGCAGGCACACACAUGCACAUAUGAAUAAGGCUUCUUGGCACUCCCUGGCAUGUCACACCACCAGCUUAGCCUGAUAACAGCAAUGGAAUCCUUACACAGCCGAAGGCAAUGAGAGAAGGGCUUUUUUUCUACAAGUGAGGAGCAGAAUUCUUGCUCCUGUUGGAGCUCUGUAUGAACGAAGACUCUGUAGGUUCUUUGUGGCUGGGGAAGAGGAAGGGGGAAGAAGGGUUGUUGGUUGGAUUGUAAAUGCUGCAGUCCCAUAUAGUCUGUACUGAUGCAUUUAAAAUUAUCUGUGUAAGCAUCUUGGAUGUAACAAUUCUUUCUUCACUUGGAGAGUUACAGGGAGUAAAUAUCUGCAUCUGGAAGCUACCAUCAACCAACUCCCGCCUCCUCCAAAAGGAAACAUAGCCCCUGGAUCUGGCCUGUUAUGACUUAAGGAAGAGACACCAGUGGGACUGUCUAAGGCUCAUCUGUAAGUCUGAAUUAGUGGUUUGUCAUUGAGUUGGAUCCACCUUUUUGCAGACAGUCGGUAGCACAUUACAACUCCAUGCUGGAAUCAAGGUAUUACAACUCCAUGCUGGAAUCAAGGUAUUUUUAGCAGGAACUCCCCAUCAUAAGGAGAGCCAUUCAGUGGGAGGAAAAUUUGGCUCCUUCUCUGGCUGUAUUUAAAUGAGCCUUAAAAACCUGACUCUUUCAGUCUGCCUUUGACAAUCAACGUUAGUCCACAUUUUUUAAGCUGUAGUUUCAGUGCUGUUGCUAUUUUUAUUUUUAUGUUGAACUGAAAUUAAAAGUGUGUGCUGUUCUAGUUCAUUGCCUUUAUAUCUGUACUAUGCUUUUACUUUGUAAGUGCCCUCAAAGGCUUUACUAAAAACAUUUUAAAUAAAAAUAUGAUUUCCCAAA